GUAGGUGGCAAGCGUUGUCCGGGAAUUAUUGGGGCGUUAAAGCGCGCGCAGGCGGUUCUUUAAGUCUGAUGUGAAAGCCCACGGGCUCAACCGUGGAGGGUCAUUGGAAACUGGAGAACUUGAGUACAGAAGAGGAAAGCGGAAUUCCACGUGUAGCGGUGAAAUGCGUAGAGAUGUGGAGGAACACCAGUGGCGAAGGCGGCUUUCUGGUCUGUAACUGACGCUGAGGCGCGAAAGCGUGGGGAGCAAACAGGAUUAGAUACCCUGGUAGUCCACGCCGUAAACGAUGAGUGCUAAGUGUUAGGGGGUUUCCGCCCCUUAGUGCUGCAGCUAACGCAUUAAGCACUCCGCCUGGGGAGUACGACCGCAAAGGCUGA
Molecule: ribosomal RNA, 377 nt
Filed under: uncultured organism
Description: partial 16S ribosomal RNA
Rfam family: Bacterial small subunit ribosomal RNA
Source: RNAcentral